Molecule: non-coding RNA, 78 nt
Submitted as: unclassified sequences
Source: Rfam
GGCAAGAGUAGAAGCGUUCAGCGCUGCAGCGUCUGCCCACCAGGGUGCGGAGGCUGUAGGCGGGUCAUUGCUCUUGAA